This 325-nucleotide ribosomal RNA is filed under the name uncultured bacterium. RNAcentral describes it as "bacterial SSU rRNA". It matches the Rfam family "Bacterial small subunit ribosomal RNA", at positions 28 to 334 of the family's 1533-position model. The record is from RNAcentral.
GAUGAACGCUGGCGGCGUGCUUAACACAUGCAAGUCGAACGAAGAGGGUUAGAAUGAGAGCUUCGGCAGGAUUUCUUUCCAUCUUAGUGGCGGACGGGUGAGUAACGCGUGGGUAACCUGCCUCAUACAGGGGGAUAACAGUUAGAAAUGACUGCUAAUACCGCAUAAGCGCACAGUACCACAUGGUACGGUGUGAAAAACUCCGGUGGUAUGAGAUGGACCCGCGUCUGAUUAGCUGGUUGGUGGGGUAACGGCCCACCAAGGCAAUGAUGCAUAGCCGAGUUGAGAGACUGAUCGGUCACAAUGGAACUGAGACACGGUCCAU